UUUUUUUAUCAAUAAAAGAAUUAUGUUUUCUUCUUAUUUUUCCAUAGUUUGGUGUCUCGCCUUUAUUUAGUACAAUUGACAAAUGAAAAAAUGCGGAUGAAAAUAUUUAUGAAUAAUUUUAUCAUCUAUCUCUUAUAUUUAAUUUUUAUAUAUAAUAAUUUUUUUAUAAUUGACCAAACAACACAAUUAUUUAAAAGAAAAAGUAAAAAAGAAAUUGAAAAGGGGUAAGAUUGGCUAAAGUGGAAAGAGAGACGAAAAUGAUUUUUUUUUUGGUAACGAAAAUGAUUUUUAGAUUGGCUAAAGUUGAUAUAGGAAUAUCCACUUCUAUAGUGGAAAGAGAGGCGAAAAUGGUUUUGCCGUAGGAAUAGCGAA
This 372-nucleotide long non-coding RNA is filed under the name Salvia miltiorrhiza (redroot sage). RNAcentral's name for it is "long non-coding RNA (SMIL_LNC010619)". Lineage: Eukaryota; Viridiplantae; Streptophyta; Magnoliopsida; Lamiales; Lamiaceae. The record is from RNAcentral.